GAUGAACGCUGGCGGCGUGCUUAACACAUGCAAGUCGAACGGAAAGGCCCUUGCUUGCAGGGGUACUCGAGUGGCGCACGGGUGAGUAACACGUGGGUGAUCUGCCCAGCACUUCGGGAUAAGCCUGGGAAACUGGGUCUAAUACCGGAUAGGACCGUCGUCUAGUGUCGGUGGUGGAAAGUUUUUUCGGUGUGGGAUGAGCUCGCGGCCUAUCAGCUUGUUGGUGGGGUAAUGGGCUACCAAGGCGUCGACGGGUAGCCGGCCUGAGGGGGGGAACGGCAACAAUGGGGGUGAUAUACGGCCCAGACUCCUACGGGAGGCAGCAGUGGGGAAUAUUGCACAAUGGGCGCAAGACUGAUGCAGCGGCGCCGCGGGGGGGAUGACGGCCUUCGGGUUGUAAACACCUUUCGUCAGGGACGAAGCGAAAGUGACGGUACCUGGAGAAGAAGCACCGGCUAACUACGUG
RNAcentral lists this ribosomal RNA (466 nucleotides) under uncultured bacterium. RNAcentral's name for it is "partial 16S ribosomal RNA". It matches the Rfam family "Bacterial small subunit ribosomal RNA", at positions 28 to 507 of the family's 1533-position model. The record is from RNAcentral.